Molecule: ribosomal RNA, 656 nt
Filed under: uncultured bacterium
Lineage: Bacteria
Description: bacterial SSU rRNA
Rfam family: Bacterial small subunit ribosomal RNA
Source: RNAcentral
UCCGCGGCCUAUCAGCUUGUUGGCGGGGUAAUGGCCCACCAAGGCGACGACGGGUAGCUGGUCUGAGAGGAUGGCCAGCCACAUUGGGACUGAGAGACGGCCCAGACUCCUACGGGAGGCAGCAGUGGGGAAUCUUGCGCAAUGGUCUAACGACUGACGCAGCGGCGCCGCGUGUGGGAGGACGCCUUUCGGGGUGUAAACCACUGUUGCCCGGGACGAACAGCCCUUUUCGAGGGGUCUGACGGUACCGGGUGAGGAAGCACCGGCUAACUCCGUGCCAGCAGCCGCGGUAAUACGGAGGGUGCGAGCGUUGUCCGGAAUCAUUGGGCGUAAAGGGCGCGUAGGUGGCCCAGCAAGCGUGCGGUGAAAGCUCGGGGCUCAACCCCGAGUCGGCCGUGCGAACUGCUGGGCUGGAGCACUGUAGAGGCAGGCGGAAUUCCGGGUGUAGCGGUGGAAUGCGUAGAGAUCCGGAAGAACACCGGUGGCGAAGGCGGCCUGCUGGGCAGUUGCUGACACUGAGGCGCGACAGCGUGGGGAGCAAACAGGAUUAGAUACCCUGGUAGUCCACGCCGUAAACGAUGGGCACUAGGCGCUUGGGGGAGCGACCCCCCGAGGGCCGGCGCUAACGCAUUAAGUGCCCCGCCUGGGGAGUACGG